Molecule: long non-coding RNA, 2128 nt
Organism: Motacilla alba alba
Lineage: Eukaryota; Metazoa; Chordata; Aves; Passeriformes; Motacillidae
Exons: 4
Source: RefSeq, a predicted model, not a curated record
GGCGGUGUCUGUAAAUAGCGGGGAGGGGCGAAGGUGUUUCAGAAGCGUAAAGAGACGCCGUGGCUGAGGCAGGCUCUGCGACGACGGCGUCGGCCUCCGAGCGCAGCCGAAGCGUGCGCCCCGAGGAGCCCGGCAUUCUUAGGAGAAUGCUGUUUCUGUACUCCUGACUUCCCGUCACGCCAGGGACACGUGGCUUGGAGCACAGCAGCCGGAUUCCUCACUUAGCCGUGUCAGCUUGGUGCAGGUUACGAAUUACAGGGUGACUUGGAAACCCAGAAACAAAGGGAAGAAGCUGGAUGGGGAAGAAAGGCUGCAGAGCUUCCUGCAACGGGCUGCGAGCGCAAAGAGCGAGGAGGCAGCGGAAGACCGGACUCAGGAAUCGGAACGGUUUUCUUGGGUUUAAGAAGCUCGAAUGGCGCUUCAAGACAUUUAUAUCAGACCUGGUUUAAUUUCAUUACCCUUUUUUUUUACAUCCACAAAAAAACCCCAACCCUCCCCCCCCCCACCUCCAGGAUCCAUCGCUGCUGCUGCCGUGCGUGACGAGAAGCCGUCUUCCCUCUGCCCGGAGCAGCUGAGAGAUGGAGCAGCACCCCAAAGGACUUUCUGCUCAGUGAUUAUAGCUGAGUUUUAGUGGGAAUUCUCUGAGCAAUCUGGUGGAUUGUGCUUGAACGUGGCCGUGAGGGUAGCUGAGCACGGCAGUCCGGAUCUGCGAGCCGCGGUGCCGGAGCUCUUUGAAAGGUCGUGGGGGAUGCAUUCAUUCCAUUGAAUCCCGGCCCUGUGCUGUGCCCAGGCCCUUUGUACAAAGAGUGUACGGGGAGAAACCAGAACUGCACGUUGCUUGCGAUACGUAUGGAGUUUUGAAAGCUUUAGUUCUAGCUAAUAAAAGAAGUUAGUUUGAAAAAAAGCCAAAUAAUUUAUUUUUUUUUCCUUCAACGUGAUACUCUUUGGUGGUGUACGGUGUGUUGUCUUCUUUUUUGGUGUUGUUAACUCUGUGUCAUUUGUUUUUUGAGUGAAGAUAACUCUGUGGAUGGCUUGGUUUGUAUUUGAGGCAGAAUUAAUUUCAACAGGUUUCUUUAAUAGACUUCUGAGAUGUAUUGCUGGGAUUUUGGCUUAGUUUAUCGUAGGUAUAAACACAGAGAUUUGGUAGGGGCAGCUCGGCUGCUGGAGUUUUGGGUGUUUAAGUGAUUGGAUGGCUUUUGUUACCUGCAGUUUUUAAUUUUUGAAAGGUUUUUUUACGUAGUGGCUUAAGGUGGUUUUUAGAAUUAAUUGUCUUGCUUCAUGUUGUGUGCAGCCGGUGGGGGGGGGGGGGGGGGGUUUAGUUUUCUUUUUGGGGACAGGAGCAUUUAUAUGGUGGGUGUUUAUAGGCAGUAUAUAUUUUUUUAAAAUUUUAGCAGUGAUAUUUUUUGACAUUUUAAUAGCUUAGAAUUUUUUUUAUGCUUUUCAUUAGUUUUUUUUAAAUUUAAAAUUAUUUCUACAGAUUAUUGUUCAUUACUUGUGAGUUAGCAUAAAGGUAGAGCUUCGGGGGUCUUUUUAGUAAUGUUUAGGGUCAGUUGUACAGUCUGGAGUUUAGGGAGCUGGUUUGAUUUAUUUUGUACAGGUUUUUGUUUUUCUUAGCAGUUCUUUCCUUUUGGAUGUGUAUUGGAGUUUUUUGGGUUUCUGAGAAAUUGAUUGAGGAGGAAGUUUAUGAUGAGGAAGCACGGAGGUUUUGGGCUAGCUCUAAUGGGAUUUUUACAUUUCUUUAUAGAUGGGUUUGUUUGAGUUUCUAAUCGGGGGAAGCCUUGUGGGAUCUCCGCUCUGUUGGCAACAGGAGCGGGCUCUGUUUUUCUGUGUUGUGCUGGGAUGUGAGCGCGUGGCGGUGCCGAGGAGGGUGCAGCAUUUUUGUGGUUCUGAUGUGUUAGGUUAGUGAAUUUAUGGGGUUCGAUAUCUAGUUUAAAAUAGAAAGAAAUAUCCAUUUAAAAAGAUCACAUUAUAAGGGUAAACAUAAGAAUCGAAACAAAUCAAACUGUAAUAUAUAGUAUGUUCUUGUAACCUGGUAUAACAUAUACAAAACACAGUCUAUUCUAUAUACGCAAAAAUAUCUAACUAUAGAUCGUAAAUAUAAAAAUAAUGACAUACAGUUUAAAAUAAA